GAUGAAGAACGUAGCGAAAUGCGAUAAGUAAUGUGAAUUGCAGAAUCCAGUGAAUCAUCGAAUCUUUGAACGCACAUUGCGCCCGCCAGCAUUCUGGCGGGCAUGCCUGUCCGAGCGUCAUUACAACCCUCAGGCCCCCGGGCCUGGCGUUGGGGAUCGGCAGAAGCCCCCUGUGGGCACACGCCGUCCCUCAAAUACAGUGGCGGUCCCGCCGCAGCUUCCAUUGCGUAGUAGCUAACACCUCGCAACUGGAGAGCGGCGCGGCCAUGCCGUAAAACACCCAACUUCUGAAUGUUGACCUCGAAUCAGGUAGGAAUACCCGCUGAACUUAAGCAUAUCAAUAAGCGGAGGA
Molecule: unclassified non-coding RNA, 352 nt
Filed under: soil metagenome
Description: partial contains 5.8S ribosomal RNA, internal transcribed spacer 2, and large subunit ribosomal RNA
Rfam family: 5.8S ribosomal RNA (bases 1-120)
Source: RNAcentral